This 242-nucleotide ribosomal RNA is filed under the name uncultured bacterium. Its description in RNAcentral is "partial 16S ribosomal RNA". It matches the Rfam family "Bacterial small subunit ribosomal RNA", at positions 15 to 248 of the family's 1533-position model. The record is from RNAcentral.
GAUCCUGGCUCAGGAUGAACGCUAGCUACAGGCUUAACACGUGCAAGUCGAGGGGCAGCAUGAACUUAGCUUGCUAAGUUUGAUGGCGACCGGCGCACGGGUGAGUAACACGUAUCCAACCUUCCGUUUACUCAGGGAUAGCCUUUCGAAAGAAAGAUUAAUACCUGAUAGUAUGGUGAGAUUGCAUGAUAGCACCAUUAAAGAUUUAUUGGUAAACGAUGGGGAUGCGUUCCAUUAGGUGG